This 103-nucleotide microRNA precursor is filed under the name Marmota monax (woodchuck). The record is from RNAcentral. Lineage: Eukaryota; Metazoa; Chordata; Mammalia; Rodentia; Sciuridae.
AGUAGGAUAGCUGGGUCAAAUGGUGGUUCCAUUCCAAGAUUUCUAAGGAAUCUCCAUAGUGUUUUUCAGAUUGGUUCUACCAAUGUGUAGUCUCACCAGCAAU